AGGUUCUUUCACUGAAUAAGUUUGGAGCACUUAAUGUGCUCCAGGCAAGAGCAAGUAGAAGCCCAUUGUGUGUUUGCCAGGAAGCCUAAAGUAACAGCUACAAGAGUGGUGCUGUAUCAAACUGAAAAGAUAGGCCAUCUGUCAGUGGAAGUUUCAACUAUUGUAAUACGGAUGUAGUAUAGUUUUGAAGAAUCGGUGUUGUUUAUUAGAAGAACAUUGGAAUGUUGUGGAGAAUUAACUGGAACCCUGAUUCCGUCAGGACCUUGUUCCUGGACUGGAGAUGCCUAAGAACUGAAAUCAUCCAGGCGAUGGAGGGAAAAAGGAAGGAGACAUGAUGAUGAAGAUAUAUAUUAGGCAAUCCUGCACUUGAGCCCUACUGCUUCGUUAUUGACAGUGCAUGUAUUUGAGAGGCUAUGAUAGAGGAGGAGUCUGCCCAUGGUGAGGUAUUGGACACAAGUGCAUUGGGACCAGAGUGAUGUUAAAGGAUAAUGCAGAUACCAGCUUAUCAGAGGAUGUGCUGUUGUUUAUAUCUCAGCAGAAGCUGGCGGUAUGUAAAUAUUAACAGACACAGCCACCUUGCCAGGCGCAAGCAAUUUUUUCCCUGCCCUACUUGAGAUUGCAGUUGUGGCUGCAACAGCUGUCUGAUUUCAGUCAUAAUUUCAUUUGUGGAGUGAAAAUAUCUGAAUUUAAGGUAAGAGCAUGGCUCUCUAAAGAUCCUCAUUUGAUCUGGCUCAUGGCCCCUUUUGCCCCAGCUCCUCCUUAAUUAUAGAAUAGAAUCCCUACAGAGUGGAAACAGGCCCGUUGGCCCAAGAAGUCCACACCAAUCCUCAGAGCAUCACACCCAGACCCAUCCCCCUAAUCUACACAUCCCUGAACAUUACAGGCAAUUUAGCAUGGCUAAUCCACCUCACCUACACUUCUUUGGACUGUGGGAGGAAACCAGAGCACUCAGAGGAAACCCACACCGAUAUGGGGAGAAUAUGCAAACUCCACACAGAUAAUUGCCUGAGGGUGGAAUUGAACCCAGGCCCCUGGUGCUGUGAGGCAGCAGUGCUAACCACUGAGCCACUGUGUGGAUUGAACACUUGGUCUUGGCAUUAUUAGCAUGAUGCUCUAACCAGCUGAGCUAACUGACGGCCACACUUUUUGUGAUCUCUCCUCAGUCUACCCAGAUAGCUUAUUUCAGUAUGUGCAUUGCAACGAUCAUUAAAAUACUUCAGCAUCACAAAGACCAAUUCCUGAAUUUAAACUCUCGCCAAUAUAACAAUACUCCAAAAAUGAAUGUAUGACACCUGCUGCCAGAAGAAAUAAAACAGAAAUUAACCUGAAAAUAGUUCAUGAUCCCUUAAAGCAGUAGGAGGUGGAAGGUUGUGUUCAGCUGUGUGAGGUUAACACAAGGCUCUGGCUGGAACAUUACAUUUGAAAACAGCAGUAUGUUCUGAUGUUAAACUGUGACCCUCUGCACUUUUUGGAAAAUUGGAACAGACCAUAAAAUCUCAGUCAAUUGA
Long non-coding RNA from Rhincodon typus (whale shark), 1508 nucleotides. RefSeq lists it as uncharacterized. The transcript is spliced from 2 exons. The record is from RefSeq and is a predicted model, not a curated record. NCBI's taxonomy places the organism in Eukaryota, Metazoa, Chordata, Chondrichthyes, Orectolobiformes, Rhincodontidae.